RNAcentral lists this long non-coding RNA (1731 nucleotides) under Macaca mulatta (Rhesus monkey). Its description in RNAcentral is "lncRNA (ENSMMUG00000053500.1)". The record is from RNAcentral. Lineage: Eukaryota; Metazoa; Chordata; Mammalia; Primates; Cercopithecidae.
GUGUAACUAACAGGUAUCAAACUCUUCUGUCAGUUAUGGUCUGUAGGACCCCCAUUAACAGUGGUAGUCUUAAUGCUCAUAUUGUGACCCUAUAUUUUAAACUUUCUUGUAAAAUUUAUCUCUUUUCACCUAGAAGCAAUCAAAUCCCAAACAGUGCUGUGAGCAGAGCCACACGUGGACACGCCAUUCUUCCGAGAACCCUUACAUCAACCUCAGGAGACGGUCCAACAGCUGUCCCUCCAGAUGACACCCCUUUUCAGCAGGAAGUAGUCAGAAAUAAUCAUCAUCCAACACCCCCUAACAGCAGUUAGGUUUACUUCUCUUGAGGGAGGAAUAAUACAGGAGUUAUUAAGAAAUUAUGUUAGGGAGAUAGGGUAAGGAGUCCUCGGAAAGGCUUUUCCUUUGAAAAGAAUCAGCUCCUGAAACAUUUCUUUUCUAAUAGAAAGGUGUGUUGAAAAGCCAGGCUGGCAAGCUUUGAUAUGUGAAUGCCAGCAAUUAGAAACUGGGUCCAUCCAACAUAGUGAUUCUCACCCUCUUCUCUUUGUCACCUUAUGUGCCAGGUGUCAUGGCCACCUCCAGAUGACUCCACACGCGCAGGAUGUCAUGGUGACCUGCAUUUCUGUAUUAAAACGCUAGGGUGGGAGGGCCAGGUUUUUCAUGGGCUGUGUGAAUGACACACCUGGUCAAACCAAUCCCCUAGGCCCUAUGCAAAUCAGACACCACCUCCAGCCUCCCAGUAUAACUGGCUACUUUUCUGCUGCAUACGGGGUUUUUCUCUGUUCGGAGCCCGCCUCCCUCUCUAUAUGGGGAUACUUUCUUCUUUCUUGCCUAUUAAACUUUCCCCUCCUUUAAACCACUCCACAUGUAUCCGUGUCAUUUAUCUAACUGGUGCAAGACAAAGGACCCCGCUGUUUCUCUAGUUAUCAAAGACAUAUCAGGAAGAUUCUGAGGAUGUGUUUUCAUAGGACACCUGUCCAUAUUUGGAAAGAAGUUUAUGAAUUUCAAGUUUGGAAUGAUCUGGUAACCUGUCUCUACCGGCCUCAUCCCAGCAGUCUUCACUUUCAACACUCACAGAGAGGCUGUCCAGGCCACUACUAGUGUAAACUGUUCUGCCCAAGUUCCUACCAGUUUUACCCUUGAUGGCACCUCAGUUAAGUGUGUGCUGCUUUCUGUCCCAGUGUGCCUGCAGGAGCCUACUCAACACUCACACACAGAGACUAAAACAACUUUACCAGAUUGAAACACUCAAGACAAAGGAGCCCAGGAAGCAAAAUUCAUCAGAAAACUAGAGGAAGUUUUCAUGGAGUUGCUAUGAGUUAGAAACUUUUAAUGAAUCCGGUUGUAUUGUUUACCAAGUUAAGAUCCUCUCAGAUGUCAGGAGAUAGAUGUGUAGAUGUCAGCUUAUAAAAUACAACUUUGGUGUGAUAGCAGAAAUAUAAGAGGCUUGAAUCCCUCCAUGCCAACAGAUAAUGAAGGAGGCCUGAGAUAAGUUGGAAGAAAAACUGGCUACAAAGAGGGAUAGCAUUUUUUUUUGUUGUUAAAUCAAAUAUUUAUGAGACUGGGCUUUGAUUUCCCCAUGGUUUAACAAUUCAAGGGAAAGAUAAUUUUUGAGAGAUACUUAAGGUAUUGGAGUAAUUCAGAUAACUGUACCUUGUAUGAAAAUAAUUAAUCACUAGAGUUUGGAAUGCAUACAAAUUGUGGUGGGAAUAGAAUAAAUUUUGCAAUGUUAAU